AGGAAUAUGUAAUUUUUUUCUGGUACCAUAUAAUCCCUUAUCUAUCAUUACUUAGUAUCAAUCCAAAAUGCAUAGUGGUUUCCCUAUAAUAAAUACAUCUUAGGCAUAGUUCCUAUUUUAUAUUUGAUUUCCUACUGACAUUGUUCUAUUGCUUCAUACUACCUCAUAUUUUGAUAAUAUGCCAAGGCUGUGGAAGUCCUUUCUCAAAUAUAAAGAAUUAAGUAAUACAUCACAUAAAAGUAAUACAUAUUUUCUUUUUCAUUUCUUGUCCUUUUAAAAUGCCUGUAUGUUGCUACUGGUUUGCAGUGAAAAUAAACAAGUAAAUUAAUCCAUUAAUUUUAACAGAUCCCUUUUAUAUAUCUCAAAUAGUCCUAAAAAGAUCAAGACAAAAACCUUAAUAUACAUGUCUAUACAUUUAAGUAAUUCAAAAGAAGAAUUAUGUUCAAUCUCUUCCGGUUUUUGUUUGUUCUCCAAAUAGUAAAUACAAAAAUUAGCAUCUGAUACAAAUAUAAAAGAUCCUGCAAGAUCUUUACCAGUAAAUUCUCUAAGAAAGGAAUUCUCUUACCUAGGUCCCUUCCCUGCUCUAGACCUCAGUUUUCUUAUCUAUAAAAUGAUAGAGAUUGGAUGAAGAAGUCUCCAAGGUUCCUUUCAGCAAUAUAAUGCAAUGACUAUAACUGAAACAUUUCUUUAUUCCACCUGAUCCCCAUUUUUUUCUCCUAUAUUUUCUAUUCUGUCUUCCUUAGAAACCUCUGUUCUUUCUUAAGUCACAUGACAGUGGAUACUAAUUUAUCAUAUAUAUUAAUAUAAUCUUUCCCUCAACUGAGUUAAGAUCAAAGAAUCUUACAUUUUUCAAGAGCUUUAAGUAUCAUCCAUUUUCCAGAUUAAAAAAAAAACAAAACAAUAACCAAAAAAUGAAGUAAUUGACUCAGUGGCAUAGAUCUAGAAUUUAAACCCAGCAUUCCAGAUUCAGGACACUUUCCAUGAUACCAGCUUUCUCCUCUUUCUGUGAGUAAAACCCCAUCUUUGUUUUCUCAAACUAUUUGAGUAUGCUUUCCCCCCAAAAUGGUAGAAAUAUCCACCACCCCAUAAGUUCUUUGCUAAUGUGACCUGGACGCUUCCCUGUUAAGAGGUGGAGUCUCUGUCCCCUUGAAUCAGGGCAGGCUUGUGACUGCUUCAACCCAUAGACCACAGUGGAAGUGAUGCUGUGUGACCUCAGAGGCCAUGCCACAAAAGGUGAUGCAGCUUCUGUCAGGUUCAUAGUAACACUUGAGCUUGGAGACCUACAACACUAUUUAUCCUCAGGCCACCAUGCUGUGAGGAAGCCAGGCCACAUGGAGAGGUCACAUGUAUCUCUACAGAGGAUGACUGCUUUUCACUUUGGGGUGCCCCACAAGGAUUCAAAGACGCUAAGCAUCUACCUGGCCUCUACCUCUAGAAGCCAACAUUCUCCAUCUGAGUUGUGACAACCAAAAAGUCCCCUGACAUUGCCAAUGUCCCCAGUUUGCAGGUUCUUUUGGCAAUACCGGAAUUGACCUCAUUAUGCCCCCUCAGAGACACCAGUAGCAGCCACUACUGGGGAGUGACCUUCUUCGAAGUUCUGAUCAUCAGCUCCUCAGGGCCUCUGCUCUGAGCUGCAAGAGUGAUAAUGACUAUAACCUUGACAUAUGCCAAGAAAUAGAGCCAGCAGGAGCGUAGGAUGCUCGUCUUCAUUCAACAGACAUGUAUUGAACACCUACAAAUAGACUGGCACUCUACUAGGCUUUGGGAAUAAAAGCAUUUAGGGAUGAGAAGGAACUUGUCAAGUGAAGGACACACCAUGCACACCUGGCUGAAGGAAUCAUCUCUGCUGGAAUGCAAAGGCCUGGGAAGUAUGGAGUAUUGGAAGAGUUCAGUUUUCAGCGUGAUUGGAAGAUAGGAUGCCUGGUACAUAGGAGCAGGAGACUGCAAAAGGCUUUAUAUGCUGUCAAGAUCUUCAUAUGCUAUGUAACAGAGAUUAAACUCAAUUGUACACAAAAUAGAGAGAUAAAAGAGGUCUCCAAUAAAUGGUUAUUGCAGUAGUCUCCUGACUCCAGUCUAAGCAGUAAUUGUAACUGGGGGCAAUUUUGUUCCCUGAGGGGAAAUCUGACAAUAUCUGGGAGCAUUUUUGAUAAUCAUCACCCUGGGGAGUGCUACUGAUAUCUAGUGGGUAGAGGUCAGGGAUGAUGCUAAACAUCCUACAAUGCACAGGACAGCUCCCAUCACAAAGAAUUACCCAGUGCAAAAUGUCAACAGUACUAAGGGUUGCGGAAUUCUGAUCACAGCUAUGGGUUUAGGCACUAAAAUGCUUUUGUACAGAAGCUUCUAAAGUGGGCUGGAUGUGGCGGUAAGAAAAUGAGAAGGGUCCACAGUGAUUCCUACAGUAGCCAUCUCAGGAGUUAAGGCGGUCACUGAUGCCAUUAACUGGGAGUGAGUGAAGUAAGGUUUUCUGGGGAUGAUAACGAAGCAUUCUGAUUCAUUUGUGUCCCAAAGUCAUGAUGCUCCUACCACAAAAGUGACAAUGUAUAAUCAUCCAAAUGGAAAACUGAGAUUUGGUUAUAUAUCAUCCCUUGCUUAUAGGGACACAGAGACUUUGUUAGUUCUUCAGCUCCUAUAUCAGCAUAAUAGUAAUGAAUAAAGCCCAUGGAAUACUGGUCACUAAAUGGCUACAGUGAAAUACUCUUAAGUGCUCCAUUUAGGGAAAUAAUAUAUAUUAUAUAAUAUCACUAAUAAAUAUUAAAAACUAAUAGUGUUUCUGCUUAUCUGGUUAUUAUUGCUUGGUCCCCCCCCCCUUUGAAUAAAGGUAUACUAAGCAGAAAUUUAUUAGUAUGCCAUGAUAUCCUUUAUAAUAUUCAUACAAUAUUAUUUCUUUCUAUUGAUUAGUGAUAUAUAUUUAGAUAUUGACAAAGACUCUCUCUCCUUGACUAAACUUUAGUUAGGUUUCUGCAAACUCUCUAAGCCUUGAUCUUGGCAUCCAUCCUUAAUGGACCUAAAUCACCCAGUUGUGGCAAGAAUCUUGCUAAGUCUGUUUAGAGGAAACUACCCACAUUCAACUCAAUAUCUGGUUAAGUUUCUCAUGCUUCACCCUUAGUAUAUGAUCAUCCCUUCACCCCUCCCCCCAUUCUUCAUCUCAGUAACUUUCCAUACACUGACCUCCUACUCUGCUCCUUGCCAAUAGAUCCCCACUUGCCUAUGCUCUAUUCAGAAUGGAGCCCAGUUCUAUACAGGGAUCUCUUUUACUCUGUUGCAAUAAUUCCUGAAUAAAAUCUAUAAUUAAAAUCCACUUUAAUCACUGUCCAGCUCUGGUUUUCUUUAACAAUAUCAUCCUAAAGUAUCAGUUUAAGCAAUCUCAACAAGUCCAAAUACAUACCAGGUACCAUUACUAUGCUAAGUGGUUAUAUCAGUAGGGACUAAGCAGGAAAUAGGACCAUUUGAGCAUUUAAAACAGAUUUAGUUUAGCACAAGGAAUUGGUUACACAGGUGAAGAACGAGACAGAAGCCAAACAGAGAACAGUGAGCCAAGGCAGAGAUUACCAAAACAAGAAUUUAGGAUGACUGUCCAUGGGCCAAAGGGACAGAGAGAGGAACCAGAUUUACCAAAGCCCAGGGACCAGAGUCACCUCACAGAAGUUGACAUUGUGGUGCAACUGGCCAGCAGGAACUGGGGCCACAAAGCAGACAGACUGCUGCCAGAUACACCACCUAGGGUGAAAAGAAGAAGGGAGGGGUAUCUUUGCUUCUCUCUCCCCUACACCUCUAAUUUAAUCUCCCAUCAGUGUUGUCUACUGACCCCAGCUGGAAGCUGGGAACCUGGGAACCUGGGAAAAAGGCAGCCUGCAGUGGUCUAUCCACUUGAUACACAGACCACAGCAGGGGGAAAGGCCAUGAAUGGAUCUGAGGCUGGAGACACUACAGCCUGGCAGAGUGGUAUAUUCAGUAUCUUAUUUAAUUUGUGCAACACUCAAUAAGAUAUUAUCACCCCCUUUGAUAGUUAAGGAAACUUAAACUCAUGGAGGUUAAAUGACUUGCUCAAAGGUUCAAGGCUCAUAAGGGGCAGAUCUGAAAGUUUUAACAAGGUCUAUUCUGAUCCCUGCUGCUUCUUCAGAAAAGGCUUGAACAUCACAGCUGGGCUUUCAGGCUUGUAAAUCCUGAAGAACAAUUCCAAGCAGGACUGACAUAUUCCUGGGAAACAAAAUAGGGCGAUAGUCUAAAUCACAGAGAGAUACUCUGGCAAUGCAAAGAUGCAGGACCUAAGAACCCAGACUGCAGACUGAACCUUUUUAUUAAACAAAGAUUCUAGCUUAACAUCUUACAUAAAUCAUUAUUGUUCUGCUUAAUGGGGCUGCUAUAAACCUAAUUACCCGAGGAUUUGCAAGCAUUUUAAUGAAAAAUACACUGGUAUUUUAGAGGAAAGUAAUUGGGCCCAGGGGGAAACAGUUUGGAUAUAGGAGAGAUUUAUCCUUGGUAGUCAACAAUGAGCUCUGUUACCUGGGAGAUGUAACACAUUAGGAAAGAUGAGUUUAUAUGAUAAGCUGCUGACAACCCAAAGCAUAACCUGCACAUAAGUAGAAGGGCACAGGAGAAAUGGUUUCUAUGGAGGAUAAGAGGUGGUAGGUAAGGGGAAAGGAAGGAAGGUGAGUUGUCUUGUAGAGAGAUAAAGGCUACCUUGAGAAUACUGGAUUUGCUAGAGAAGUUUAUUGGACUUGUUAGAAAGCUGUUAACCUAUAAUUAACUUGCAUGGAUUUAGAAGGUUAAGUAAUAUAAAAAAUUCCUCUUCUUGGGUG
This is a non-coding RNA of Microcebus murinus (gray mouse lemur), 4799 nucleotides long. The record is from RefSeq and is a predicted model, not a curated record. Lineage: Eukaryota; Metazoa; Chordata; Mammalia; Primates; Cheirogaleidae.